UUUGCACUGUGGUGUUUCUCAUUCAGCAGCUGCCCCAGAGCCCUGCAGAGCGAGCAGCGGGUGAUGCGCAGCGAGCUCGGAGGAUGGGCAUGGCCGGGCAUCGUGGGACAGUGUGGCUUCUUCCCGCUGUGCUCCUUGUCCUUCAGAUGAGGCAGACAGUCAUACCAAGUGAUGCAAGGUCAACUUGAGAACUCUGAGCAAUUCUGAAAAACUGAAGAGGAAUCAUAAGUUCCUGUGCUGCUGGCUAUGCCCUGGGCAAUGAAAAAACCUGUGUUUCUGUAGGUACAAACCCAGCUCCCACACAAAGGUUCAGAAAUCAUGAACUAGAGGGCAGAAAGUCACGGGACUCACAGCAAACCCAGAUGCCCAUCCUGAAAAUGAGGAUUCCACUGAGGUCUUGAGCAGACAGUUGAAGAUCACCAGGGAGGCUGGCAUUCACCCAGCAUGUGCCCCUGGCAGGCAAGGAGCCUGGACUGGCAGAUCAUGCUCAUCCAGCCCUGGGCCUGAGAGGGCCAGGCUUCCCUGGUGUCAGAAUUUUGGGUGGGUUAUUCCACUCUCCUGAGUACUGUGCUUCUGCACAGGCCUCCAGCCCUGAAUGAACUUGUGUCUCCAUUUCAGCAUCAAGCAAGUGCAGCCCAGGGCAGAAGUGGUUGCAGGUAUGGCAUUGUUGGUUAGGGGCUCCUCAUUGUGCCCUUUACUAUAAAAAUAAGAAACUGUCCCACGUUUUAUUCUCCAUAUGUGAGACACAGAAUUCUAGCAGAGUUUUUCUUACCCUCUUCUUGCUCCUCACUGCCUCAUUUUAUCUCUUGACUAAUAGUGAAAUACAUGGCUGAAUUUAUAGAAUAGACAGUUUCUUUAAGCUUGGCUUGACCUAGUGUAUUUUGUAUAAGUUAGAAGCCAAAUAUAGACUAGGGGUGUAUGUGGGCAGGUAAGGUCGAGCUGAUGUAGUUAAAUUGGUGUGAUAUUACAACUUUAUGCAAUUUCCUGUGUUGGCCAAACACUGAAGAAUUCCAGAUGUCUCAUUCAGAUAUUAGCAAUAACUGUUUCGACAGCAUGUAGAUAUUGUUUUGGGACUGUGCCUUACUUGAAACCUCAAAUAUAAUAUUUACUAUUGUUGUUUAUUAAAAAGUAGUUUAUCACAAAUUCUAGGCACUGAAAAUUGGUGUUCUGAGUCAUAAAAUUUGUACUCAAGCUACCAGAGUAAAGCAAAAAUUGUAGUUGCCUUAGCUCCAAUUGCCUGACCCUUUAAUUCCCAAAGAGUCUUCACACAAAUUGAGGAAGACCAAACAUAGGAGUGAAUUUGUAGAUUUUUUGUAUGCAGAAUGCUGAAGUUUUAAAAGACAAUAAGUAUCUAUUUUCUGUUUAAGUCUGACUAUAUUGCUCUACAAAUGAGGCAAAAUCCUUCUGAGUUGAGGUUUGUCUAUCAUGAGGGCCAUAGCAGUACUGCAAUGAAGUCCAAAAUAUUUUAUCAAAGUUUUCAUUGAAAGCAUUAUUCUGAUUGAAAACUUCUGAUUUUCUACUUGUUUGACAUUUUGUCAGCCCUCUAAAACCUCUCCAAAAUGGGUAUGAUUUGCUUCAGCUUCAGGACACAGGACUGGUCCAUUUUAUUUGUACGUCUCAUUACCUAUAUAGAGUGCAAGGAACUUUGGUCCCUUCUAUUAUUGAUUUGCCUUAGACUUGUUGGUAUUGUCUUAUUAGCAAAUAUUUUCAUUAUCUGACACAGGGAUGGCAGACAAGGAAAGGUAAGAGCCAAUGCACAGAGUGAAAAAAAUGUGUGGCCAUGCUGAAUUGGGCACAGAAACUUUCAGCAGCAACAGCAGCACGGUCUUUCUCAAAUUGGAGAAACCUGUCACAUUUUCUGAGAAUGUUGUCCCAGCAUGCCUUCCAGAAGAUUUUGCUAGAUAUGUUCUUGUGGAAGAGGUUUUAGAGUGGCUUCUGUGAGCCAGAGAGGUUUGAUAAGAGGAUCCGUGUUUACCCCUGAAAGAAUUUUCUACCAAGGCCAUUGACAUAAAAAUCAAGAAAGAAAGAAGGAUAAAUAAGAGAAACCUGCAACUGCCUGCUCCAAUAAGCACUUUGUUUGUCUUGACCAAUGAGUAAAGUGUAACUUAUGAAUCUUGUAAGAAUGUAUAAAAAGCAGGCAUGCUAUAAUAAACUCGGUUUGAAGCCUUCUGAAAAUGGAGUGUUGCUUUGUAUUGUGACAGUCUCAACUAUGACGAAUUCUGAUGAAUUAAUUGGAAUUGUCAGUGGCUUGGAGAACAUGCAUUCAGAAAAAACCCCUAGAAAAUGCAAAACCCACUCAUGUAUCCAGAAGAGUGUAAUUAACUGUGCAUGUCACAGAGUGAAAUGAGUUGUUACAUGAAGUUCCUUGAAUUGGAAAGCCUUGCUUGCUGUCACCAAAAUCACUGCUGUUCUGAUAGCUUCUCACUUUCUUCCUAAAAUACUUCCUUCACCAGAAUUAUUGAUAAAAUGGUUUUGGCUAUCAUAAAGUGAAUGCAUUGCAUACCCCAGAAAUUACAAUAUUGUUAUAUGUUAUUAUUUACAUUAUGUAAAUCAUUCACAACUGAAAAAAUUUUAAAUCUGCAAGGGUAAUUAAUA
Molecule: long non-coding RNA, 2595 nt
Organism: Haemorhous mexicanus (house finch)
Lineage: Eukaryota; Metazoa; Chordata; Aves; Passeriformes; Fringillidae
Exons: 3
Source: RefSeq, a predicted model, not a curated record